Molecule: transfer RNA, 68 nt
Filed under: Marmota monax (woodchuck)
Lineage: Eukaryota; Metazoa; Chordata; Mammalia; Rodentia; Sciuridae
Description: tRNA.Ala
Source: RNAcentral
GUUGUGGCUCAGUGGUAGAGUGCUUGCCUAGCAUGUGCAAGGCACUGGGUUCCAUCCCUGGCACUACA